AAAUUGAAGAGUUUGAUCAUGGCUCAGAUUGAACGCUGGCGGCAGGCCUAACACAUGCAAGUCGAACGGUAACAGGAAGAAGCUUGCUUCUUUGCUGACGAGUGGCGGACGGGUGAGUAAUGUCUGGGAAACUGCCUGAUGGAGAGGGAUAACUACUGGAAACGGUAGCUAAUACCGCAUAACGUCGCAAGACCAAAGAGGGGGACCUUCGGGCCUCUUGCCAUCGGAUGUGCCCAGAUGGGAUUAGCUUGUUGGUGGGGUAACGGCUCACC
Molecule: ribosomal RNA, 272 nt
Filed under: Escherichia coli
Lineage: Bacteria; Pseudomonadati; Pseudomonadota; Gammaproteobacteria; Enterobacterales; Enterobacteriaceae
Description: partial 16S ribosomal RNA
Rfam family: Bacterial small subunit ribosomal RNA
Source: RNAcentral